GAAUGCUUAUCAAAUGACAUCCUAAUUUUCUUGGUUAGUUGCAGAGAAGAAAAUGCCAUCAAAGUCUUCCGCGGAUAUUGACAGUGCAGCAGCUCUUAUUGAGAGAUUUGAAGCCAUUGAAGAAAUAACAGUUUUAAUCUAACAUUGAUUUUCUUAUUAGUACUGUGUAAUUUGUGUUCUCAGUUGUGUCAUUUAUACUAUACGCAGUCCUUUUUUAUAAGUUACACAUUGUUUUAAUUACA
Molecule: long non-coding RNA, 242 nt
Filed under: Mytilus galloprovincialis (Mediterranean mussel)
Lineage: Eukaryota; Metazoa; Mollusca; Bivalvia; Mytilida; Mytilidae
Source: RNAcentral